GAGGUUGCGGCGGAAGCAGAGACCAUGUUCCGAGCCGCGGCUCCGGGGCAGCUCCGGCGGGCGGCCUCAUUGCUACGAUUUCAGAGUACCCUGGUAAUAGCUGAGCAUGCAGAUGAUUCUCUAGCACCCAUUACUUUAAAUACCAUUACUGCAGCCACACGCCUUGGAGGUGAAGUGUCCUGCUUAGUAGCUGGAACCAAAUGUGACAAGGUGGCACAAGAUCUCUGUAAAGUAGCAGGCAUAGCAAAAGUUCUGGUGGCUCAGCAUGAUGUGUACAGAGGCCUACUUCCAGAGGAACUGACACCAUUGAUUUUGGCAACUCAGAAGCAGUUCAAUUACACACACAUCUGUGCUGGAGCAUCUGCCUUCGGAAAGAACCUUUUGCCCAGAGUAGCAGCCAAACUUGAGGUUGCCCCGAUUUCUGACAUCAUUGCAAUCAAGUCACCUGACACAUUUGUGAGAACUAUUUAUGCAGGAAAUGCUCUAUGUACAGUGAAGUGUGAUGAGAAAGUGAAAGUGUUUUCUGUCCGUGGAACAUCCUUUGAAGCUGCAGCAACAAGUGGCGGUAGUGCCAGUUCAGAAAAGGCAUCAAGUACUUCACCAGUGGAAAUAUCAGAGUGGCUUGACCAGAAAUUAACAAAAAGUGAUCGACCAGAGCUAACAGGUGCCAAAGUGGUGGUAUCCGGUGGUCGAGGCUUGAAGAGUGGAGAGAACUUUAAGUUGUUAUAUGACUUGGCAGAUCAACUACAUGCUGCAGUUGGUGCUUCCCGUGCUGCUGUUGAUGCUGGCUUUGUUCCCAAUGACAUGCAAGUUGGACAGACAGGAAAAAUAGUAGCACCAGAACUUUAUAUUGCUGUUGGAAUAUCUGGAGCCAUCCAACAUUUAGCUGGGAUGAAAGACAGCAAGGUAAUUGUAAAUCAGUGAUGUUAAAAGAAAACGUUUCCACAUUUUAGGAUUUGGCUUACCUUGUAUGUUUCCAUGUAGUUACAGUGCAUGCAGUCAAGCCAUUCACACUAACGUAGAUCUGGGAACUGAAAGAAAUAAAAGCUACCGUUCACUGCCUUAAAAAUUAUUGGUCACAGAGGCAGUGCUGUGUCAUGGAAAGAGGCCUGAACCUGAGUUAUAGCUCCACUGCUAACUUAAUGCAUGAUGAGUGCUGUCUGCAAACUCAGUUUCUUUGUCUACUAAAUGUGGGUAUUGAAUGAUGGUCACUAAGUUGCCCUUCAGCUGUGACAAUCUGUGGAUAGAAAAUAUCAGCCUUAAACAAUUUGAUGAGGUUCUGAACGUGUAACUUAUUUUUGAGGUUUUGAUCCCUGAUUCUCUCUCUGUCUGCUUCACUUUGGUCCUCUAACCCUCACAAUCUCAUAUAUCAGCAGGGCCCCACUUCUUGGGUUGUUAUCAAAGUAUAACCAACACAUUUUGGGUUGGAGCAUCAGGCCAUCUUAAUAUCUCAGUAUCUCAGUAAUGAUCAAAAGUGCAAUAAGUAUGGGGCUGGGUGCGAUGGCUCACGCCUGUAAUCCCAGCACUUUGGGAGGCCGAGGGCGGCAGAUCAUGAGGUCAGGAGAUCGAGACCAUUCUGGCUAACAUGGUAAAACCCCGUCUCUACUAAAAAUACAAAAAAAAUUAGCCAGGCAUGGUGGCGGGUGCCUGUAGUCCCAGCUAUUCGGGAGGCUGAGGCAGGAGAAUGGCGUGAACCCUGGAGGCGGAGCUUGCAGUGAGCCGAG
RNAcentral lists this small RNA (1724 nucleotides) under Pongo abelii (Sumatran orangutan). RNAcentral describes it as "retained intron". Lineage: Eukaryota; Metazoa; Chordata; Mammalia; Primates; Hominidae. The record is from RNAcentral.